UACGGAGGGGGCGAGCGUUAUUCGGAAUUAUUGGGCGUGAAGGGCGCGUAGGCGGCCUGAUAAGUCAAAGGUGAAAUCCCUCGGCUCAACUGAGGAAUUGCCUUUGAAACUGUCAGGCUUGAGGCCGGGAGGGGGUGGCGGAAUUCCCAGUGUAGCGGUGAAAUGCGUAGAUAUUGGGAGGAACACCAGUGGCGAAGGCGGCCACCUGGACCGGUUCUGACGCUGAUGCGCGAAAGCGUGGGGAGCAAACAGG
RNAcentral lists this ribosomal RNA (253 nucleotides) under uncultured bacterium. RNAcentral describes it as "partial 16S ribosomal RNA". It matches the Rfam family "Bacterial small subunit ribosomal RNA", at positions 524 to 776 of the family's 1533-position model. The record is from RNAcentral.